GGUCCGUUGGCCUAGUGGUUAGAGCGUCCACCUCUAAUGCCCGAGGUCGCGGAUUCGAACUCCGGCUGAAUCA
Potamilus streckersoni is the source of this 73-nucleotide non-coding RNA. The record is from the annotation of a GenBank genome assembly. Lineage: Eukaryota; Metazoa; Mollusca; Bivalvia; Unionida; Unionidae.